GAUGAGCGCUGGCGGCGUGCUUAACACAUGCAAGUCGAACGAUGAAGCCCAGCUUGCUGGGUGGAUUAGUGGCGAACGGGUGAGUAACACGUGAGUAACCUGCCCUUAACUCUGGGAUAAGCCUGGGAAACUGGGUCUAAUACCGGAUAGGAGCGCCUACCGCAUGGUGGGUGUUGGAAAGAUUUAUCGGUUUUGGAUGGACUCGCGGCCUAUCAGCUUGUUGGUGAGGUAAUGGCUCACCAAGGCGACGACGGGUAGCCGGCCUGAGAGGGUGACCGGCCACACUGGGACUGAGACACGGCCCAGACUCCUACGGGAGGCAGCAGUGGGGAAUAUUGCACAAUGGGCGAAAGCCUGAUGCAGCGACGCCGCGUGAGGGAUGACGGACUUCGGGUUGUAAACCUCUUUCAGUAGGGAAGAAGCGAAAGUGACGGUACCUGCAGAAGAAGCACCGGCUAACUACGUG
RNAcentral lists this ribosomal RNA (466 nucleotides) under uncultured bacterium. RNAcentral describes it as "partial 16S ribosomal RNA". It matches the Rfam family "Bacterial small subunit ribosomal RNA", at positions 28 to 507 of the family's 1533-position model. The record is from RNAcentral.